UUAAAACUUUCAACAACGGAUCUCUUGGCUCUAGCAUCGAUGAAGAACGCAGCGAAAUGCGAUACGUAAUGUGAAUUGCAGAAUUCAGUGAAUCAUCGAAUCUUUGAACGCACAUUGCGCCUGGCAGUAUUCUGCCAGCAUGCCUGUCCGAGCGUCAUUU
Molecule: ribosomal RNA, 160 nt
Filed under: Endoconidiophora laricicola
Lineage: Eukaryota; Fungi; Ascomycota; Sordariomycetes; Microascales; Ceratocystidaceae
Also listed under: 1 other name
Description: 5.8S ribosomal RNA
Rfam family: 5.8S ribosomal RNA
About the family: 5.8S ribosomal RNA (5.8S rRNA) is a component of the large subunit of the eukaryotic ribosome. It is transcribed by RNA polymerase I as part of the 45S precursor that also contains 18S and 28S rRNA.
Source: RNAcentral